RNAcentral lists this unclassified non-coding RNA (232 nucleotides) under plant metagenome. RNAcentral's name for it is "partial contains small subunit ribosomal RNA, internal transcribed spacer 1, and 5.8S ribosomal RNA". The stretch from base 1 to 54 matches the Rfam family "Eukaryotic small subunit ribosomal RNA", at positions 1778 to 1831 of the family's 1831-position model. The record is from RNAcentral.
GGAAGUAAAAGUCGCAACAAGGUCUCCGUUGGUGAACCAGCGGAGGGAUCGUUACUGGAAUCGCAAGAUCCCACAACCCCUGUGAACCUACCGAAACGUUGCCUCGGCGGGCGCCCGGCCCCGCGCCGGGCGCUGAGCCCGCCGGCGGCCCCCUACUCUUGUCUCUGCAGCGUGGCAACUCAGAGUCCCAGAAAACAAGUAAAAACUUUCAACAACGGAUCUCUUGGCUCUA